RNAcentral lists this ribosomal RNA (464 nucleotides) under uncultured bacterium. RNAcentral's name for it is "partial 16S ribosomal RNA". It matches the Rfam family "Bacterial small subunit ribosomal RNA", at positions 339 to 795 of the family's 1533-position model. The record is from RNAcentral.
CUACGAGAUGCUGCAGUGGGGAAUAUUGGACAAUGGGGGGAACCCUGAUCCAGCCAUGCCGCGUGUGUGAAGAAGGCCUUUUGGUUGUAAAGCACUUUAAGCAGUGAAGAAGACUCUUCGGUUAAUACCCGGGGACGAUGACAUUAGCUGCAGAAUAAGCACCGGCUAACUCUGUGCCAGCAGCCGCGGUAAUACAGAGGGUGCAAGCGUUAAUCGGAAUUACUGGGCGUAAAGCGAGCGUAGGUGGCUUGAUAAGUCAGAUGUGAAAUCCCCGGGCUUAACCUGGGAACUGCAUCUGAAACUGUUAGGCUAGAGUAGGUGAGAGGGAAGUAGAAUUUCAGGUGUAGCGGUGAAAUGCGUAGAGAUCUGAAGGAAUACCGAUGGCGAAGGCAGCUUCCUGGCAUCAUACUGACACUGAGGCUCGAAAGCGUGGGUAGCAAACAGGAUUAGAUACCCGAGUAGUC